Molecule: ribosomal RNA, 493 nt
Filed under: uncultured bacterium
Lineage: Bacteria
Description: bacterial SSU rRNA
Rfam family: Bacterial small subunit ribosomal RNA
Source: RNAcentral
GAUGAACGCUGGCGGCGUGCCUAACACAUGCAAGUCGAACGAACCUUGGGGAACAGAUUACUUCGGUAUGAAGUUCCCCGCUGGUUAGUGGCGGACGGGUGAGUAACGCGUGGGUAACCUGCCGUAUGCAGGGGGAUAACAGUUAGAAAUGACUGCUAAUACCGCAUAAGCGCACAGUAUCGCAUGAUACAGUGUGAAAAACGAUAGUGGCAUACGAUGGACCCGCGUCUGAUUAGCUAGUUGGUGGGGUAACGGCCCACCAAGGCGACGAUCAGUAGCCGGCCUGAGAGGGUGAACGGCCACAUUGGAACUGAGACACGGUCCAAACUCCUACGGGAGGCAGCAGUGGGGGAUAUUGCACAAUGGGGGAAACCCUGAUGCAGCGACGCCGCGUGAGUGAAGAGUAUUUCGGUAUGUAAAGCUCUAUCAGCAGGAAGAUAAUGACGGUACCUGACUAAGAAGCACCGGCUAAAUACGUGCCAGCAGCCGACGG